UUCUUUUUGAAUAUUGGUCAGGUCAAAAUUUUAUCUCGUGUCUACUUCUUUGUCUAGAAACACUGUGUUUACAGUUAAAAAGGGGCAUGAUGUAGACACGUAAUUUUGACCCUUUCAAAUCCCGUUUUUCAAAUUUUACCCCUUUCACCGCACCCUUACCACGCAACCUUAUCCUGUCCAAUAACUACUCCACAAAACAAAAAAUAACCAACAAAGCAACAACAUUGACACCUCACGACCCCCAACCUCCAACGCUACGUACCCUCCUCUCCUUAAUCACAUUUCUUUUCAUAAUAACAGACUAACAGAAAGAGAAGGAGAAGACAUGGCCUAUAUCCUCACAUACAUAGCAAUAACAGAAAAAAGAGAGAAAUGGGGAUCAUAUUUUUGAUACCCACACACACACUCAUACAAAGGGAGUAUAUACAUGCAAAAAGGGGGAGGAUCUCCAUUCCCAUCAGGAUAAAAUCAGAGAGAAAAAUAGUCAAAGACCCACAUGGUAGAAUACAAAGAGUGAAUGGAGAGAGGAAAGAGAGAAAAUGGGAGGGAGGAGAAAGCAAUAGGGAGAGAAAAAUAGGAUAAAGGGAGAAAACGGGAGCGAGAACAGAAAAGGGGUUGAGAUUUUCCAGCACAUCUCCACUGGAAAAUCAAUCCCGUCCAGUCGCUCAUUUAAGUUGAUUUUGGCGAAAUCCUGCCGAAAAGCCAACCAUAAGCUCCUAUUUCUUACUCCGGCUAGUCGAAUCGCCAUCGGAAGACACCAUUGACGGCGACCAAAUGCACCGCCACUGAGAUCACCGAAAAAACUUGACCAAGCCACCGAAAAACAACCAAAAUCGACCCGACCAGCCCCAUAACGCCACUGCUCCAGCGAAAAUCACCACCAGAAAAUCCAUGUCGAGCAGCUGGGUUCGACGUUGAGGUUCAAUUUGGGUCGAGGCUCAUUGGAUUCGAUACUCUGGUCUUCGGUGAAUAAUCAAUGGAUUUGAUUCGGAAGAUCCAUUUCUUCCACUCUCUAUUCAUUUCUAUUUUUGUUCAAUUUAGAUAAUUUUGCGACACAUGAUUAUUUUACCCAUGGUUGUUUGAUUUAAUUCGAGUGAAUUCAGACUCCACUGUUGACAUUGAUAAUUUAGGAAGGGAUUGAAAAUUGAUAAAAUUGAAUACAAUUGGCUUGUUUUUGAUUCAUUGGUUGUUUGAUUUGAAACAGAACGUUAAUUUUGUUGAACUCGGUAAUAUCAUGAUUAGGCCGUCAUAUGAGGUAGGCAAAGUUAAGGAUUAUUGUUGGAUGUUUGAAUGUCUUUUUUUGUUUUAUCACACUUGAAUCAAAAUUUUAUUUAUUUGUUCGGAAAAUGCCCCGAGACUAUUUGACUUUAUUCAUCCGGAAAAUGCAACGUGAGAUUUUGUAAUUGAAGACAGUUCAUGAUCAAGGCUUGGGACGUCGGGUGGAGCUUAGCUUAGAACUAGUUUAGGAAAUAAUAGGUUUAUAUUUUCGUAACUUUCCAUUUUCGGGAUUGUUCAUUUGUUUUCUUGUUUAUGUACUUUUGUUUGUUUAUUCAUUUCAUAGUGUCAAGUUAGCCGAUGCAAUUCAAAGAAGUGAUCGUGUUCGAACCACGGGAUCCAGGGGUGUCUGAUACCUUCCAUUCGAUCAACAGAAUUUUUUAACAGAAAUCUCUGUUUGUAAAUCAGUAUUAAGAGUUAAAAUUAUUUUUAAAAAAGGAUUUUCAAAGGUGAAUUGGAACACCAGAUUUGCCAAGUGGCGACUUUGAGUUUUAAGUUUAAAAUCCUUUUCGAAAUGCAUUUUUCAUUUUUGUCACUUAAAUAAAAAAAAAAUCGAACUUACAAUCAAUAACUUCUUAGUAAAAAAAUAA
This 1865-nucleotide long non-coding RNA is filed under the name Capsicum annuum. RNAcentral's name for it is "long non-coding RNA (CANN_LNC002251)". Lineage: Eukaryota; Viridiplantae; Streptophyta; Magnoliopsida; Solanales; Solanaceae. The record is from RNAcentral.